RNA transcript from Syngnathus acus (greater pipefish), 5088 nucleotides. It is a transcript of the gene named rho-associated protein kinase 2-like, with no coding region annotated. The transcript is spliced from 35 exons. NCBI's taxonomy places the organism in Eukaryota, Metazoa, Chordata, Actinopteri, Syngnathiformes, Syngnathidae. The record is from RefSeq and is a predicted model, not a curated record.
AUUAUUUUAUUUAUUUAUGAUCGCUGAAGAGGAAUAUUAAGUAUGCUCGGGGCGGAGAGCCGACUGGAAAGUCGGCUGAAUAGGCUGGAGGUCCUCAUGAAGAAUCCGGAGUCAGUGUUAAACCUGGGAACACUGCUGGAUUCCAUAAAUGCCUUGGCUCACGAUUUGAACUACCCAGCUCUGCGGAAGAACAAGAACAUCGAAACAUUUCUGAGUCGAUAUGAAAAAGCGGUCAGCCAGCUGCGCGAGCUGCAGGUCAAGCUGGAAGACUUUGAGAAGGUGAAGCUGAUCGGAAGAGGUGCUUACGGAGAAGUGCAGCUGGUGCGACACAAGGCCUCUCGGAAAGUUUACGCCAUGAAGAAGCUCAACAAGUUUGAGAUGAUCAAGCGCUCUGACUCGGCUUUCUUCUGGGAGGAGAGGCACAUCAUGGCCUUCUCCAACAGCCCCUGGGUCAUCCAGCUGUGCUGCGCCUUCCAAGAUGACCGCCACCUCUACAUGGUGAUGGAGUUCAUGGCGGGCGGCGACAUGGUCACGCUCACCAUGAACUACGACAUACCGGAAGAGUGGGCUCGCUUCUACACGGCCGAGGCGGUGCUGGCCCUGGACGCCAUCCACUCCCUGGGCUUCAUCCACCGCGACGUCAAACCGGACAACAUGCUGCUCGACCAACACGGCCACCUCAAGCUGGCCGACUUCGGCACCUGCAUGAAGAUGGACUCUAAGACAGGCAUGGUACGCUGUGACACCGCCGUAGGCACGCCCGACUACAUCUCCCCCGAGGUGCUGCAGUCUCAGGGGAGCGAGGGUCACUACGGGCGAGAAUGCGACUGGUGGUCCGUCGGGGUCUUUAUCUACGAGCUGCUAGUAGGUGUAACACCUUUCUAUGCUGAAUCCCUCGUGGGGACCUACGGGAAUAUUAUGAACCACAAGAAUUCCCUCUCCUUCCCGGAUGAUGUGGAAAUGUCCCAGGAGGCCAAAAACCUCAUCUGUGCCUUUUUAACUGACAGGGAGAUUCGUCUGGGCCGCACCGGAGUGGAGGAGAUCAAAAGGCACCCGUUCUUCAAGAGCGACCACUGGACCUUUGACAACAUCCGAGAGACUGUGGCUCCCGUCGUACCUGAGCUCAACAGCGACAUCGACACCAGCAACUUCGAUGAUUUCGAGGACGAUAAAGGAGCCGCUGAGACCUUCCCGCCGCCAAAAGCCUUCGUGGGCAACCAGCUUCCAUUUAUCGGCUUCACCUACUUCAAGGAAGACCAGCUGCUGAAGGCAAAGAAAAACAGCUCCGAGCAGGAUUGUGAGAACGAAAAGGAGAAAUUAGAGGAAAAGCAACAGCGCUCUGACAACAAGAAAGAACAACUGCAGAAAAAACUGAAUGAACUGGAGGAGCAGCUGGACCAUGAAAUGCAGGCCAAAGACGAGCUGGAGCACAAGUUCCGAAAUGCCACCAACCGUUUAGACAAGUUGGUCAAGGAAUUAGACAAGGAGAUGAACAACAGACAACGCGUGGAGGCCUCGCUGAGGCAGCUGGAGUGCGAGCGAGCGCUGCUGCAGCACCAGAGUACCGAGAACCAGCGCAAAGUCGAUAUUGAGACGGACAGGAAACGCGGACUGGAGAACGAAUUGAAUACCCUGAGGGACCAGUUAGAAGAUCUGAAGAAGAGGAACCACAAUUCACAGAUCUCCAACGAGAAGAACAUCCAGCUGCAGAAACAACUCGAGGAGGCGGCUGGGACUCUUCGGGCGGGACAGGAGGCCACGAGCAAGCUGAAGAAGAGCCAGGCGGAGAUGCAGAAACAGGUCCAGAGCCUGGAGCUGAGCCUGAGGGAGACGCAGGAGAAGUGCAAGCAGCUGGAGGAGACCAAAACGGAGCUGGAGAGGCAGCUGACGACGCUGCGGGCCGAGCUGGAAGCGGAGAAGAGGGAGCGGAGCGUCAAGAUGGAUGUUAUCGCUGACCUACAGAGGCAAACAUCUGGGCUGAAAGACGAGGUGAAAGAAAUGAAGUCAUGUCUCUCCACCGUCCAGACUGGAAAGAACCAACUGCAGGAGAAGCUCAUUGACCUUGAGAAGGAAAAGAGCAACCAAGAGAUCGAGCUGACGUUCAAGUUGAAGUCACUCCAACAGAGUCUAGAGCAGGAGGAGGCCGAACACAAAGCAACCAAGGCCAAGUUGGCGGAUGAAAACCAAAUCUACCAGUCCCUGGAGGUAGCAAAGUCUACGGCCUUAAAAGAGAUGGAGCACAGCCUUCAGGAGGAGCGCACGCUCAAGCAAGAGCUGGAAGCCAAGAUGCUGCAGCUGAAGAAAGAUUACUCCAUGCUGGACUGCGAUUACAAACAGGCACAGCACAAACAGGACGAGCUGCUCACGAGAAAGGAGAAAAUUUCCGAAGAGGUCAAGAACCUGAGCCUGCGCCUGGAGCAGGAGGUCCACCAACGCAGUUUGGCCCAGAGUGACCUGAAGAUGGAGAAACAGCAGGUGACCGUCCUGCACACCUCCGAGAAGCAGCUCAAGCAGGAGCUCAACCAGCUGCUUGAGAUUAAGCAGGUCUUGGAGAAACAAAACCAGGAGAUGCGCAGGGAGAAGCAAGAGUCGGAAGCUCUGCUGAAAGAUUUAAAGGACCAGCUGGAGGCGGAGCAAUAUUUCACGACCCUUUACAAGACGCAGAUCCGCGAGUUGAAGGAGGAGUGCGAUGAGAGCAACACUUUGUACAAGGAGGCUCAACAACGUCUGGAAGAAUACCAGGAGGAGAGGGAAUCGCUGGCCUCCCAGCUGGAAGUCAGCCUGACCAAGGCCGACUCGGAGCAGCUGGCCCGCUCCAUCGCCGAGGAGCAGUACUCGGAUCUGGAGAAGGCGAAGAUCAUGAAGGAGCUGGAGAUCAGAGACAUGACGGCCAGACAUAAACAGGAACUCGGCGACAAGGAGGCCACCAUUAGCUCGCUGGAAGAGUCCAAUCGUACCCUGACGGUGGACGUGGCCAACCUGGCUAGCGAGAAGGAGGAACUCAACAACCAGCUGAAAGAACUGCAGCAACAGCUCGAGGAUGCAAAGGAUGAGAAGAAGAACAUGAGCGCUCUCAUUGUGGGCUUUGAAAAACAGAUGCAGACUGAAAGGACGCUGAAGACUCAGGCCAUCAACAAGCUGGCCGAGGUGAUGAACCGGAGGGAGCCGACGAGGAGCGGCCACCGAGGCCCCGACACGGAGGUGCACAAGAAGGAGAAGGAGAACAAGAAGCUGCAACUGGAGCUGCGAUCGGAGAAGGAUAAACUCAACAGCACCAUCAUCAAAUUCCAGCGAGAGAUGUCGGAAAUGCAGGCGGUGAUAGCUGAGGAGAACCAAGUGCGUCAGGAGCUUCAGAUGACAUUGGCCAGCAAGGACAGCGACAUCGAGCAGCUCCGCUGUCAGCUGACCUCGCUCAGCGUCCACUCUCUGGACUCCAUCAGCAGCGGCAACGACCUGGACGAAGGCUACCCAGUGCGCAUUACUCAAUCACACACUUCGGAAUCAAUGUCCUUCACCUACCAGCGCACACACAAAUCGGUGCGCGUCGACACCCGGCCCGACAUCCGCUCGGCGCGUUCUCUCUUUGAUUCUGACUCUGAGGAGGAAGAAAAUGCUGAAAGUGACGAGCGGGGCCAGCGUCCCCUGGCUCUCACCUACCAGCAGCCUGAGCCUGACCUUGAAGAUUCCAGACUCGAGGGCUGGCUUUCAAUCCCAAACAAGCACACAAAACGGUUCGGCUGGGACAAAAAGUUUGUCGUGGUUAGCAGUAAAAAGAUUCUGUUCUACAACAGCGAGCAGGACCGAGAACAGGCCAACCCUUUCAUGAUUUUGGAUAUAGACAAGCUCUUUCAUGUCCGACCCGUCACUCAGACUGACGUGUACCGCGCCGACGCCGUGGAAAUCCCCCGGAUAUUUCAGAUCCUGUACGCCAACGAGGGCGAGAGCAAGCGUGAUCAGGUGGUCAUGGAGAGCACCCCCUUCGGCGAGCGCCCUUCCCACAUCAACCACAAGGGGCACGAGUUCGUCCUCACGCUUUACCACUUCCCGUCCAGCUGCGAGGCGUGCACUCGGCCGCUGUGGCACGUAUUUAAGCCGCCGCCGGCCCUCGAGUGCCGCCGCUGCCACGCCAAGUGCCAUAAGGACCACCUGGACAGAAAGGAGGAGGUCAUUGGGCCCUGCAAGGUGAACUACGACAUGUCCACGGCCAAAGAGUUGCUGUUAUUGACCGGGAGCCGGGAGGAUCAGAAGCGAUGGGUCAGCCACCUCCUCAAGCGCAUCCCCAGGAAGCACCCGCAGGCCGCCGCCGCCGCCUCCGCCCCGGCCCAUCUACCCGAGGCACCGGCCAGAUCCUCCCCCCGCGUUUCGCCCCGCCCGUCACCCAGGGGCUCGCCGCAGAUUUCGCCGCACCGCGGGGCCAUGAGACUGUCGUCCUCCAGAAAUCAGCAGCAGUCCGGGAAGGCCAGCGGCCCCAUGCUACGCAUCAUCCUCCACUGACCUCUUCACCCACCAUUCUAACGUUUCCCAUGCUUGGGAGACUAUUGCUUGAUUUUGACCUGAAAGACUUGAGGUGGUCGUUGGACGACACCGACAGUGAUGAUGAUAUGUUCUUCUGAAAGAAGGGGGGACGGAGGUUAACCCUGGCUCAGCGAAGAGAUUCUUCCUUGCGGAUGAUUGACAGCAGCGUGCCAAAAAAUGAAACGGAACUUUUUUAACCCGAGGAUCAAUCUUUUUCAGUAUGCCAAGUUGUCAUAACGACAUGGUGAACAAAAUUGGACUUUCACAUUUGGGUUUGAAGUGCAAGGGCUGUGUGUAUUGUAUAUAUCAAAUGAAGAGGACUUUUUUUUUUGUGGAUCAUAUCUUAGAAUGUUUAGAAAACACGGAUUGUAUUAUUUUUUAGGAGCGUUUAAUAUUACACAUCAGCACGGUGGGCUUGUCUGGGAAUUGUUUACAAAACAAAAUUGCACAUUCAUUUUGGGUCACCAGUUCAGUUUAUCCAAAAAAAAACAUUUGUCUUUUUAAAUGGAAACUCAAGCAAUCCCGUUUUUUUUUUUUUCUCCUAAUGGUCAAAUAAAAUUACAUAUCCAUCCA